AGUGAACGCUGGCGGUAGGCCUAACACAUGCUAGUCGAACGGCAGCACAGUAAGAGCUUGCUCUUACGGGUGGCGAGUGGCGGACGGGUGAGGAAUACAUCGGAAUCUACUUUUUCGUGGGGGAUAACGUAGGGAAACUUACGCUAAUACCGCAUACGACCUACGGGUGAAAGCAGGGGAUCUUCGGACCUUUCGCGAUUGAAUGAGCCGAUGUCGGAUUAGCUAGUUGGCGGGGUAAAGGCCCACCAAGGCGACGAUCCGUAGCUGGUCUGAGAGGAUGAUCAGCCACACUGGAACUGAGACACGGUCCAGACUCCUACGGGAGGCAGCAGUGGGGAAUAUUGGACAAUGGGCGCAAGCCUGAUCCAGCCAUACCGCGUGGGUGAAGAAGGCCUUCGGGUUGUAAAGCCCUUUUGUUGGGAAAGAAAAGCAGCAGGUUAAUACCCCGCUGUUCUGACGGUACCCAAAGAAUAAGCACCGGCUAACUUCGUG
Molecule: ribosomal RNA, 492 nt
Filed under: uncultured bacterium
Lineage: Bacteria
Description: partial 16S ribosomal RNA
Rfam family: Bacterial small subunit ribosomal RNA
Source: RNAcentral